UCCCCGCCAACCGCACCUGUCACUUAUCAUGUCAUCAUGAACAAGAGAAGAAGCUUGGCGACGAUUUGAGAGUGCACAAUUUAUGUGCAUUCUUUGAGAU
This is a non-coding RNA of Caenorhabditis elegans, 100 nucleotides long. The record is from Ensembl. Lineage: Eukaryota; Metazoa; Nematoda; Chromadorea; Rhabditida; Rhabditidae.